This 253-nucleotide ribosomal RNA is filed under the name uncultured bacterium. RNAcentral's name for it is "partial 16S ribosomal RNA". It matches the Rfam family "Bacterial small subunit ribosomal RNA", at positions 524 to 776 of the family's 1533-position model. The record is from RNAcentral.
UACGGAGGGUGCGAGCGUUGUCCGGAAUUACUGGGCGUAAAGCGCACGUAGGCGGCUUUGCAAGUCGGGUGUGAAAUCCCCGGGCUCAACCUGGGAACUGCAUCCGAGACUGCUUUGCUCGAGUAUGGGAGAGGGAAGUGGAAUUUCCGGUGUAGCGGUGAAAUGCGUAGAUAUCGGAAGGAACAUCAGUGGCGAAGGCGACUUCCUGGACCAAUACUGACGCUCAGGUGCGAAAGCGUGGGGAGCAAACAGG